Molecule: ribosomal RNA, 490 nt
Filed under: uncultured bacterium
Lineage: Bacteria
Description: partial 16S ribosomal RNA
Rfam family: Bacterial small subunit ribosomal RNA
Source: RNAcentral
AUUGAACGCUGGCGGCAGGCCUAACACAUGCAAGUCGAACGGUAACAGGGAUCAGCUUGCUGAUUCGCUGACGAGUGGCGGACGGGUGAGUAAUGUCUGGGAAACUGCCUGAUGGAGGGGGAUAACUACUGGAAACGGUAGCUAAUACCGCAUAACGUCGCAAGACCAAAGAGGGGGACCUUCGGGCCUCUUGCCAUCGGAUGUGCCCAGAUGGGAUUAGCUAGUAGGUGGGGUAACGGCUCGCCUAGGCGACGAUCCCUAGCUGGUCUGAGAGGAUGACCAGCCACACUGGAACUGAGACACGGUCCAGACUCCUACGGGAGGCAGCAGUGGGGAAUAUUGCACAAUGGGCGCAAGCCUGAUGCAGCCAUGCCGCGUGUAUGAAGAAGGCCUUCGGGUUGUAAAGUACUUUCAGCGGGGAGGAAGGGAGUAAAGUUAAUACCUUUGCUCAUUGACGUUACCCGCAGAAGAAGCACCGGCUAACUCCGUG